AAGGAAUAUUGGUCAAUGGACGCAAGUCUGAACCAGCCAUGCCGCGUGAAGGAUGAAGGUCCUCUGGAUUGUAAACUUCUUUUAUCUGGGACGAAAACGGGAUUUUUAUCUCAAUUGACGGUACCAGAGGAAUAAGCACCGGCUAACUCCGUGCCAGCAGCCGCGGUAAUACGGAGGGUGCGAGCGUUAUCCGGAUUUACUGGGUUUAAAGGGUGCGUAGGUGGGCUUAUAAGUCAGUGGUGAAAUCUCCGAGCUUAACUUGGAAACUGCCGUUGAUACUAUAGGUCUGAAUUAUCUGGAGGUAAGCGGAAUAUGUCAUGUAGCGGUGAAAUGCUUAGAUAUGACAUAGAACACCAAUUGCGAAGGCAGCUUACUACAUAUAAAUUGACGCUGAGGCACGAAAGCGUGGGGAUCAAACA
This 419-nucleotide ribosomal RNA is filed under the name uncultured bacterium. RNAcentral describes it as "bacterial SSU rRNA". It matches the Rfam family "Bacterial small subunit ribosomal RNA", at positions 356 to 774 of the family's 1533-position model. The record is from RNAcentral.